RNAcentral lists this ribosomal RNA (384 nucleotides) under uncultured soil bacterium. RNAcentral's name for it is "bacterial SSU rRNA". It matches the Rfam family "Bacterial small subunit ribosomal RNA", at positions 26 to 394 of the family's 1533-position model. The record is from RNAcentral.
AGAUUGAACGCUGGCGGCAUGCCUUACACAUGCAAGUCGAACGGCAGCACGGGAGCAAUCCUGGUGGCGAGUGGCGAACGGGUGAGUAAUACAUCGGAACGUGCCCAGUCGUGGGGGAUAACGCAGCGAAAGCUGCGCUAAUACCGCAUACGAUCUAUGGAUAGAAAGCGGGGGACCGUAAGGCCUACGCGUCGAUUGGAGCGGCCGAUAUCAGAUUAGGUAGUUUGGUGGGGUAAAGGCGUACGACCAAGCCAAACGAUACUGUAGCUGGUCUGAGAGGACGACCAGCCACACUGGGACUGGAGACACGGCCCAGGACCUCCGUACGGGAGCAGCAGUGGGAAUUUGGGACUAAGUGGGACGCGAAGCCUGACUCCGAGCCAA